Molecule: long non-coding RNA, 741 nt
Organism: Cygnus atratus (black swan)
Lineage: Eukaryota; Metazoa; Chordata; Aves; Anseriformes; Anatidae
Exons: 3
Source: RefSeq, a predicted model, not a curated record
AUGAGGAAAGCAUACACUUUUUACAGACAAUAUAUAAACAUGUUGUACAUAAUUAACAAUAACUUAGUUCACUAAUCCAAAAAUAAGCAAAAUAAAAAAAUUAAAAUAAAAACAGAAAAUACUGCAGAUUUUUUUUAUGCUGAUACAAGUACAAAAUAAUUUAAAUCUCAACUGCCGUUGUCUAUGCUGCAGUGACUGACAAUAUAUUGCACUUUGUCAACUGUAUCAGUAAUCCCUGUCUUCCACCCACAUCCCUUCCCCACCCCCCUGCCCAAAUCCUACAGAAAUUUGAGUCGGGUACAAAUAACGUACAACUGUACCAUUGUAAAAGGUAAAAAGUAAAAAGGAUCCAAAUUUUUACCUCAGUAGAUUAAAAAGCCUUAUGAUUUUUCCUAACAGAUUUUGUUUCCUGUUUAUUUCCACUUCUAUACAAAGUGCACCUAUAUGCCUACGCAGACCAGAAAAAAGGACGAAAGCAGGAUUUUCCAGUGAUCUCAACCUCAUUUCUGCCCUUCCUCCCUGUGAAGUCCACCAGGGCCUGGAUGCCUGAGACAGCACACGCGCUGACUGGCUGCGUGUGGACAUGGUGGCCACACUGCCUCCACGAUAGAAAUCCAGCAUGUGUGGCUUCCAGUGAGCCGAUUCCAUCCUGGGAGGCUGCUUAUAUCUCUUUACAAUAUUCACAGUAAUAACAAAGAGAAAAAGGAAAGCCAGUUCCAGCCUCUUCCUUCUGCUUCUGCC